RNAcentral lists this ribosomal RNA (410 nucleotides) under uncultured bacterium. Its description in RNAcentral is "bacterial SSU rRNA". It matches the Rfam family "Bacterial small subunit ribosomal RNA", at positions 370 to 772 of the family's 1533-position model. The record is from RNAcentral.
AAUGGGCGCAAGCCUGAUCCAGCAAUGCCGCGUGCAGGACGAAGGCCUUCGGGUUGUAAACUGCUUUUGUACGGAACGAAAAGCCUUCUUCUAAUACAGGAGGGUCAUGACGGUACCGUAAGAAUAAGCACCGGCUAACUACGUGCCAGCAGCCGCGGUAAUACGUAGGGUGCAAGCGUUAAUCGGAAUUACUGGGCGUAAAGCGUGCGCAGGCGGUUGUGUAAGACAGGUGUGAAAUCCCCGAGCUUAACUUGGGAAUUGCACUUGUGACUGCAAGGCUAGAGUACGGCAGAGGGGGAUGGAAUUCCGCGUGUAGCAGUGAAAUGCGUAGAUAUGCGGAGGAACACCAAUGGCGAAGGCAAUCCCCUGGGCCUGUACUGACGCUCAUGCACGAAAGCGUGGGGAGCAAA